GACGAACGCUGGCGGCGUGCCUAAUACAUGCAAGUUGAGCGCUGAAGGUUGGUACUUGUACCAACUGGAUGAGCAGCGAACGGGUGAGUAACGCGUGGGGAAUCUGCCUUUGAGCGGGGGACAACAUUUGGAAACGAAUGCUAAUACCGCAUACAAACUUUAAACACAAGUUUUAAGUUUGAAAGAUGCAAUUGCAUCACUCAAAGAUGAUCCCGCGUUGUAUUAGCUAGUUGGUGAGGUAAAGGCUCACCAAGGCGAUGAUACAUAGCCGACCUGAGAGGGUGAUCGGCCACAUUGGGACUGAGACACGGCCCAAACUCCUACGGGAGGCAGCAGUAGGGAAUCUUCGGCAAUGGACGAAAGUCUGACCGAGCAACGCCGCGUGAGUGAAGAAGGUUUUCGGAUCGUAAAACUCUGUUGGUAGAGAAGAACGUUGGUGAGAGUGGAAAGCUCAUCAAGUGACGGUAACUACCCAGAAAGGGACGGCUAACUACGUG
RNAcentral lists this ribosomal RNA (497 nucleotides) under uncultured bacterium. Its description in RNAcentral is "partial 16S ribosomal RNA". It matches the Rfam family "Bacterial small subunit ribosomal RNA", at positions 28 to 507 of the family's 1533-position model. The record is from RNAcentral.